GACGAACGCUGGCGGCGUGCUUAACACAUGCAAGUCGAACGGUGAAGCCUUCGGGUGGAUCAGUGGCGAACGGGUGAGUAACACGUGAGCAAUCUACCCUUGACUCUGGGAUAACUUCGGGAAACCGGAGCUAAUACCGGAUAUGACAUCUGGCCGCAUGGUCUGGGGUGUGGAAAGAUUUAUCGGUCAAGGAUGAGCUCGCGGCCUAUCAGCUUGUUGGUGGGGUAAGGCCCACCAAGGCGACGACGGGUAGCCGGCCUGAGAGGGCGACCGGCCACACUGGGACUGAGACACGGCCCAGACUCCUACGGGAGGCAGCAGGUGGGGAAUAUUGCGCAAAGUGGGCGGAAGCCUGACGCAGCGACGCCGCGUGAGGGAU
RNAcentral lists this ribosomal RNA (379 nucleotides) under uncultured bacterium. Its description in RNAcentral is "bacterial SSU rRNA". It matches the Rfam family "Bacterial small subunit ribosomal RNA", at positions 28 to 409 of the family's 1533-position model. The record is from RNAcentral.